RNAcentral lists this ribosomal RNA (492 nucleotides) under uncultured bacterium. RNAcentral's name for it is "partial 16S ribosomal RNA". It matches the Rfam family "Bacterial small subunit ribosomal RNA", at positions 29 to 507 of the family's 1533-position model. The record is from RNAcentral.
AGUGAACGCUGGCGGUAGGCCUAACACAUGCAAGUCGAACGGCAGCACAGUAAGAUCUUGCUCUUACGGGUGGCGAGUGGCGGACGGGUGAGGAAUACAUCGGAAUCUACUUUUUCGUGGGGGAUAACGUAGGGAAACUUACGCUAAUACCGCAUACGACCUACGGGUGAAAGCAGGGGAUCUUCGGACCUUUCGCGAUUCAAUUAGCCGAUGUCGGAUUAGCUAGUUGGCGGGGUAAAGGCCCACCAAGGCGACGAUCCGUAGCUGGUCUGAGAGGAUGAUCAGCCACACUGGAACUGAGACACGGUCCAGACUCCUACGGGAGGCAGCAGUGGGGAAUAUUGGACAAUGGGCGCAAGCCUGAUCCAGCCAUACCGCGUGGGUGAAGAAGGCCUUCGGGUUGUAAAGCCCUUUUGUUGGGAAAGAAAAGCAGCAGGUUAAUACCCCGCUGUUCUGACGGUACCCAAAGAAUAAGCACCGGCUAACUUCGUG